This 8679-nucleotide long non-coding RNA is filed under the name Daucus carota (carrot). RNAcentral's name for it is "long non-coding RNA (DCAR_LNC001420)". Lineage: Eukaryota; Viridiplantae; Streptophyta; Magnoliopsida; Apiales; Apiaceae. The record is from RNAcentral.
GUUGAUCGUUCAUUCCGUGACAUAAUGCGACUUAAAGACCCCAGUAAUCUAGAAAAACCAUUUGGUGGAAAGACAGUUCUUCUUGGGGGAGAUUUCAGGCAAAUCUUACCUGUUUUACCCAAGAAAGGACGAGCAGAUAUUGUCAUGUCAUCCAUCAGUAAAUCUUACCUAUGGAAACAAUGUAAAGUUUUUAAACUGGAUCAAAAUAUGAGAAUAGAAGCAAAUGUACCACCAGUAACAGUUGGAGGGAUCUCAAUUCCAUACAUGGAAUGGAUAAUUAAGGUUGGUGAUGGUACGGCAGAAUCAGUAUCGAUGGAUGAUUCGGGAGAGGCAAAUUUAAUCGAAAUACCAAAAGAAUUACUACUGGAUCCUGGGGAUGAUGGUAAGAAAACAAUUAUUGAUAAAAUAUACUCAGAACUAGAAGCAAGACAUAUGGAGCCAAAUUAUUUUAGAGAUCGUGCUAUUCUGACACCUAUUAAUGAAGAUGUCGAUUCUAUAAAUACAGAAGUAUUAAGGCGAUCAACAGGUACAAGUUGUGUCUAACCUGUUCCACUUAUUAUUUAUAUAAUACACACUUAGUUACAUUUCACAAUUUUAUUUAUUUUUGUACUACAAUCUUACGAUUUCAAUUACUACAGGUAAAUGUGAGCUCUAUCGAAGCUUCGAUUCUAUAUGCAAGAGCUCAGUGAAUUAUGAAUCUCAGGAAAGUAUGAAUCCUAUAGAGUUUCUGAACUCUCUGACCUUUUCUGGCAUUCCUAAACAUGAGCUAAGACUCAAAGUUGGUUGUCCAAUUGUACUCCUUCGGAAUAUAUGUCCUUCAAGAGGUCUUUGCAACGGCACGAGGUUAAUUGUUACCCAACUGUGUAAAAAAGUUAUUGAAGGUGUUAUAAUUACAGGCAGUCAUAUUGGAGAGAAGACUUUCAUCCCCAGAAUAUGCAUGAGGCCCACAGAUUCUACACUACCUUUUGUAUUGAAGAGAAUACAAUUUCCAGUGGCUUUAUGUUAUGCCAUGACAAUAAAUAAAAGCCAAGGCCAAACUUUAAGAUCUGUGGGCCUAUAUCUUCCCCACCCCGUUUUCAGUCAUGGACAAUUUUAUGUGGCUAUAUCAAGAGUUACAUCACCAACAGGAUUACACAUAGUUUGUGAGCCCACUAGCCAUCCAAUUGAAGGGAGAACUAAAAAUGUUGUUUACCAUGAAAUCUUCACAAAUCUGUAAAUCCCGUCUUUAUAAUGAAAAAUGUCAUAUGCCUUACUAUAUUCAUUUAGAUAUGUUAUUUGAUUAAUGAAUAAGAUAUGCCUUUUACCUAACUUUGUAAUACUUUUUAUUGUUCCCAAAAGACCUUUCAGUUCAGACAUCCAUGUUACUGAAUGUUACUGAUGAAUGUUACUAAGAUUGUAAUAAUAUUAAUAAAAUAUUAAACUCAUUUCCGAAUUCAUAUUUACAAAAAGUGUGUUAUUUCUUAGUAUAAUAUCCAAGACACGUUACCUCAUACUUAUUAAUCGACCAAAUAUAUAUUUUUGUCAUAAGAAAUAAUAUUGAGAAUUAAAAAACCACUUUAACUAAUUAAAAUAUAGUAUAUGUCUGUAUAUUAGUUUAACUAGGUUACACAGUUAAUUUUAAAUUUAACAAAUAUAUUCAUAAAGGCAUUUAAUUUUAUAUUCAAACUCCUUUUAAAUAUAGGAAUAACAAAACCAAUUACAAUUCAAAAAAGAUAACAUAUGUACAGCAUAUACAUAUUAACCAAAUACAACUUAUAGGAUGAUUCAAUAUCCAUACACAAUCCAAAACAGACAAGGUUUGUAACUUUACUUUCCUAGAGGGUAAAGGUUUUAAACUUAUUUCUAAUUUCAUAUUUACAAGAAGUGUGUUAUUUCUUAUUAUAAUAUCCAAAACAAGUUAUAUCAUAAUUAUUAAUCGACCGAAUAUAUAUUUGUCAUAAGAAAUAAUUUUCACAAUUAAACAACUGGUUGAACUAAUUAAAAUAUAGUAGAUGUGUGUAUAUUAGUUUGACUAAGUUACACAGGGAAUUAUAAAUUUCAAAAGUAUAUUCAUGACGCAUUUAAUUUUAUAUUCAAACUCCUUUUAAAUAUAGGAAUAACAAACCAAUUCCAAUUCAAAUUAGAAAACAUAUGUACAACAAAUACAUGUUAACCAAAUACGACUUAUAGGAGGAUUCAAAGUCCAUACACAAUUCAAAAAAGAAAAUGUUUUUAGCUAUAGUUUCCUAGAAGGUAAAGGAUUUCUAAUACAGAUUUAAAGCUAUGCUUAAUCUAAUAUUGUUGACUAUAAAUAUAGAACACCACCAAGGAUUACCUUGGCAAUCAUCACCUACAUACGACGAUAAUACCAGAGAUAGGUAACCAACUUCUGCAACUUUUUCUUUUCAUAUAUGUUAUCUAUAUGUUUAUCAAUAUUCAUCACAGACAUGUAACAACACUAACACUCUCUGCACAAAAAAUUCCUCACAACUACAUAUUAUAUUAUUGUAAUGUACAUGUUUACCUGUACAUAUGCAUAGCCUUCUCCACCUUUGGGAUUCUUAAUCAAAAAGCACAUUAAAACCUGCAUAUAUCAGAAUUAAUAUAUGUUAACAACAGUUAUCACAUGUAUAUGUCGUCCACUCACAAAACAAACUCUCUUUCUGCACAAAAAAUUUCACACAACUCUAUAUUAUUGUAAUGUACAUGUUUACCUGUACAUGUGUAGAGCCUUCUCCACCUUUGGGAAUCUUAUAUCAAAAGCACAUUAAACCUGCAUACAUCACAAUUAAUAUAUACUAAUAUUAUUAUAUAGUACAAUGGUUAUCACAUGUAUAUGUUGUCCCCUCACAAGACCAACUCCAUGACAAUUUUGACUAAUAUAUAUGUAGUAUACUAGCACAUCACACAAACCAUAAACAUGGAAUACUAAUCGCAUGCUUAGACAUGAUACUGUACAAAUUAUCUGAUGUUUGUAUGCAUGUUGUUAAUCAAUGACAGGGAUAUUUUUAAACAACACAAUGUCGAAUGAUAACCAGCUCAUAAGAGGACUCACAAUGGAAAAAGAUGAUAAUAGUAUAAAGGUUCGUUUAAUCAGGAUGUGGGAUGCGAUCAACAGAAACACAAAGCUCAUAAUAAACAGAAAUCUCAUUCUGCUCGAUGAAGAGGUAAACACAAAAAACAAAUUGUUUCCUUCUAAAAUUUAUUUCAAUCUUAACUAUUUACCAAUUAUGCAGAAUGAGGAUAUUCAUGUGACACUUCGAGUCAACCAGUUCGAUCAAUUCACCAACAAACUACAUGUGGGCGACACAUACAUCAUAACUAAUGUAAAGGUUGUGCCAGCAGCAGAUUCUUAUAAACCGAUACCUGGAAAAAAUGCUCUGAAUUUUCAGAGGAAGACAAUAAUCAAAAAAACUUUUGACAACAGCACCAUACCAACAUACAAAUUCCACUGUUUACAGUUCGAUCAAGCCAAAACAAGGGUUGGAAAUAUUAUCAACCUCAUCGGUACACUUCUCUAAAUUGCCUAUUACUAUAUUUAAGUUUAUUUUAAUAAAUAUUAUUAUAAUCCAUUAUAAAUCCCCAGUUCAUUAAUUUACAAGUACAGCACAUUCCAAUCUGAUCAGUACAAUGUAUAUAAUGCAUGAAAGAAAUCCCACCAUUAUAUCUGAUUUAGUAUAGUGUAUCUCACCUUUAUUGUAAAUAUCGAUGCAAUAGAUGUGGCUGGAAAAUUGAUAGAAUACACCGAGCUUCAAACAACUGGCUAUGGCAGCGAGAAGAUGGAGAUCCUCCUUGAAAAUCAGCGGUAUAUACCAAUUUAAACUCACCUCUUUUGACUUGGAUAUAGAAAUAUCCUGCAUAAAAAUAUUUUGUUAAUUUUACAGGUCUGAAACUAUCAAGAUAACUUUGUGGGAAGACAAAGCAAAAACUUUCAUUGCUGAAAUAUCCAACUACAGGAACUCACACACAUAUGUCAUCGUGACAGGAACCCUCGCAAAGAACAUUGGACGUAAGUUGCCAACAAAACUAUGUUUAAUAUUUUUUAUUCUUUCUGGUGAUAUUAAUCUACAAUCAAUAUUUAAAUCCUGCCUAACGUAAAAUCCCAUUAAACAGGCCAAUUUCUUCUAUCAACCACAAGUUCAACCCAAAUUUACUUCAACAUAGAACAUCCUGUAAUAAUGGAUUUAAAAGAAACCUUGGAAGGAAGAAAAGUAGCUGGUGAAGACAUCCCAAAAGCAGUUUCAUACAUACAAAUAGGAGGACAAGACAUACCAACUGAUAUAAAAGAUAUGACAAUUGUCGAAAUACUUGACGCCAAGCUUGAGGGCAAUCUCAAAGUAAGUAAAUUUCAGAUUUAAUUGAUUUUAUAAUAAUCUGAAAAUCAUGACCUCACUUUCGUCUGCUAUUUACAGGAUGUAUUAUGCCUAACCAAAGCGACAAUAACAGAAAUAAUACCAAAUUUUGGUUGGUAUUACAUAGCUUGCAACAACUGCUUCAAGAAGAUGAAAGGGACAAUUGAAAAAAAAUAUUGUGCUCAGUGUCCAAACCAACCAACAAAAACCACCUAUGCAUACAUGGUCACUGUGAAGGUCAGAGAUUCUACAGGAUCUACCACAUUUGUACUGUUUGACAAGCAGGCCAAAAUCCUUACUGGUGUUCCGGUUCAACACAUUCUUAACACUGACGAGGCAAGUUUCUAAUUAAUAAAAUAGUGUGAUACAAAAAACAAAUUCUUCAACACUAACUUUCAAUUUAUUGUUUCAUUUACAGGAAGCAUCACCUUUCCAAAUCCCAAUCGCUGUAAAUAAUAUUAUUGGCAAAGAAUGCAUCUUUCAGUUGAAGUUGACAGCUCGAAACAUUGAUGACGGCCAAUUCACAGUUAUGAAGGUUACUGAGUCGAAGGCUGAGGCAGAAGUCGACCCAAAUACAUCCGACCACGAAAGAAAAUCUCAUCCGCCAUCCAUCACAACAAAACAUACCAAAAAACGCAAUGCAGGGACUGUUGACGAAGUGACAAAGAACACUGCAGGAACCAGCCACCACAAAAAUAAGUCUAUCAAACUUAGUGAUGAAAAUACCUGCAGCAAGAAUGAAACUGGCACUGUUUCAGAAGAAUAACCACAACCAUCCUAAGAUCUCCUCUAUAUGAUAGUCGAAAUAGGAAUAAUUUUUGGAAGAUGCUUGACUUUAUUCAAUAACUCAAAGAAAGAUUCACUUAUUUUUGUUUAAGGCACUUCAAUGAAACUGUUAUUUGGCAUUAAUUUAAGCAGAAAUCAAAGAUAUUCUUAGUCUCACUUGAUUGUCUUAAUUGAAUGAUAAAGUCUAUGGAUUUAAAUAAACCACUGUUUUAAACAUCUUCAUAUUUUGCCCCAUCCAUUUCGAGGACUAAAGCUUUUAUUUUUUAUUUUUAUAUAAUAUUAAACACAUUUCAUGAAUUUAUAAUAUCUAUAUAUUAAGUGACUAGCAAUAUAUAAUCAAUUAUAUUAGUUAAACCGUUCUUUUACUAGAAAAAGACACAAGACUUGAGAAUAGCUCUAAAUGCCAUAAAACAAAUGUUAAUAAUAAUAUUAUUACAAGCGAAUUUUUACAUGUGUUUAUUCCUAAUAAUAAUCUCCUAAUUUAAUUUUUGUUUCUUUAGCUACUUUCCAUACGCAAAAAAAAACUAUUUUUAACAACACUAUACAAUAUAAUCCAUAUAACAAAAAUUAUUCGUACAACUUACAUACAAUUAGUUUUUUUUAGUGAAACAAUAUCCGUAUGAAUGUUACUUCCUCUUUAUAAUUUACACAUUGUACACAAUAUUAUAUAUACAUCCCAACAUUAAUUUAUGAGCUAUUGAAAUAAUUAUGUUAUCCUUACAAUAAAGUUAAAUUGUGUAUUACUAUGUUAACAAAAAAUAAUAUUCCAAGUUCAAACAAAAUAUUAAAACUUCAUCCUCCACUUUAGAUUCAAGUCUUUUCCAACAAGUAUUAGAAUUCUAAUACAUAUAUUAUCCUAUCCUUAAUCAAAUAUGAUUUCUUAUCCGACAAGUAUUAGAAAUUCCAAUACAUGUAUUAACCUAUCCCGAUCAAAUAUGAUAUACCUACAUAUAUUGACAACCACGUGUCCAAACCCUUCUCCUAAUGUAAUUAGUAAUAGCACCUCUAAAUUCGGGCAAACUGCCUAGCUUAAUGCAAAAAACUUUUAUCACACACAUAUAUAUAUAUAGAUAAACAACACACCUUUUUAACUCAAAUACUCAACUACCUCUCUCCGGUAAAAGGUAAGCUUCUGCUUCAAUAUUAUAUGUUUAUAUGAUAUAAUUUAUACAUGCAUGAUAAUACAGAUCUCACACAUCUAACAAGAUACAUGAACACAGAUUGUAAUCAAUACUUUAUAAAUUUGACACACCACCACAAUCACAGGUAUCUUGAUCUCUUAAAUAUGUUUAUCCUGACAUACCACUUCCUUACAACAAAAAACAUAUUGUUUAUUUCCCGCAUGGUUAGGACAUAAUAAUAAUUGGCAUAUAUCAUUAUUAACAUGAUCUAUCAGUACAAUAAUAUUCAAUGUUUAUGCAAUAUACUUUCAAUUUUUAAUAAUUAGUGCAAAUUUUCUUAUUUCAGGUUUCAUGAUGGUUAGUCGAUUACCAAUAUUUGCUAUAUUAAUAAUUCUAAAAAGGUUGGCAUCAUCGAGUUUUCAAGACUUCUUUUACUUCUUUAUGACUUGGUCUGCUACACAAUCAAGGAGUACAAUAACAAAUAUGCUGAACUCUUACCCAAUCACUGAAUUGUACACAUGGGGUAACAUACACAACAUGAUUAAUAGAGAUAUGUUCCUCUACUUUAUAGACAUUGCUGGAUCGUUGCAAAAUAAAGAUGCUUUAUUCUACAAAUCAUUCGGAAUUGUUUUACAGAGAAAUACGGGUGCCUACAAUCAAUUUAAUGAUGCUUAUGAAACGCUCCUACUGCUGGCAAACAAUGAUCAUAAUUUAUCAACCUUGGUUGUUAAGGUGUUGGAUAUAUACUACUUUCCCAAGAAAAGAGACGAUGCAAUCGCUGACCUAUCCCAAAUGACCGACACCCCAGGGAAGGAAAAACAGAUUACUCAAAUGAUACAUUUUCUGAAGAUAAUUGUCAAAAAUUUCGGCCAAGUUGAAAUAUUUACAGAGCUAUUUGGACAGCCUAUCUGCCAGCAACAUAAUUCUGCAAAACCUAAAUAUGUCCCGGAUGGAAUGGUGGUUCAACCAUCGUGCAUUAGUCAUUAUGAAUGCCAACAGUGCAAGGCGGCGGUAAUUGUAGCAUGCUUUGCGGGGUUUGGAACAUCGAUAACUAUAUGAUCUACAAAACAUGUAAUUAUUUAUACAUUCCAACUGCACUUUAAUUUUACACAUGUUUGAACUUAGUCGGCUUUAUACUUAUUUUAUAUCAUGCAGACAACAAAGUUCUUUACCAUAGAAUUAUAUAUUACUUUUAACUUUUAAUAACUUGCCUCUUAUAAGACAUAGCCAUAUUCACCAUUCCUCUCAACAAUACAAUAUUUAAAUCUAUUCCAUCAUUUAAGAACUAUUCAAAAUCAAUAAGGUACGAUUUGAGGCAAAGAACAAUUUAAAACUCAGGUCACUUAAUGACAUAUACACAUGAUCACUAACCUUAGAGCAAAUCUCUUUGACCUUCGCAUGUAGGAACUCUUUUCACCCAGCAGAAUAAAAUUAUUAUGCAAUGUCACAAGGUAAAGAUCAGCACCAAUCACACUUCCAGAGGCCUAAUUUGUAUGCAACCAAUCUAUUUUUAGAGGUCAAUUCCAAAAGAUGGCGCAAAGAAAUAUUAAAUUUAAAAUUCACAUAAAUAUAAUACACCCAAACACCGCUUAACACCAGCAUAUAAUAACACAUAGCUUUCAAAACAUGAAAUAAUUAUUUACAAUUUCAUUUACUUUAGGCAAAUCCUACUUUAGAGUUAAAAUACAAAACCUGACAAUUCUAACCAAUAAACAGAUCUCCUAUCUCUUCACACUGCCUUUGCUCCCCAAUUUCAGUAUUUCACUCUUGCCUACAAUGUUAUGUUAUUAUUGUUUAAACUAAACUUACUUUUACAUGAUUAACUUAAUAUGUAAAUUUAAUUCUUAUGGCUUCACUUUUCUUAUUCGAAAAACCAAAUAAAAUAUAUAUCUGGUCAUAUAUACAUGUGGGGAAAACUCAACACACUUCUAUGCACAGGUCAGAAAAUCUAAAACAUCAGCAACAAGAAAAUAUAACAAUCACACACAUGCACCCCUGAAUAUCAAUUGCCUCUAAUAUCAAUUGCCUCUAAUAUCAAUCGCCUCCAAAAACAACACUUUAAUCUGAGCAUUUGUCAAAUUAUAAAACCCAUUUACAUUCUUGAACCUAGACAUAUAUUUUAAUUCAGAAUGAGAAUAUGUCAAUCCCGGUUAAAAAUCACAUCAAGAAAAGUUUAAGCAUUUCAUUUCUCUUAUUCCUAUUCAUGAGAAACAAUAAAGAUAUAUAAAGCAUUAAUCAUUGAAUCCCUACAAUUGGCAACCAAAAUUAAUAGGUAUAGAUUACACGGGAGCAACAAGUAUAACAGCAAGUCAGAUUUGACUAACCCAUUCGUUUGAUUAUGAUUCUGAUCCUUCCGAUAUAGGUGUGAUUCAGAUACUUGGAGAAGGUUCAGACUUGAAAUGUAUGGACUACGGCUUGGUCGGUGUCUCUUCGUGUCUUAA